GACGAACGCUGGCGGCGUGCUUAACACAUGCAAGUCGAACGGAAAGGCCCUGCUUUUGUGGGGUGCUCGAGUGGCGAACGGGUGAGUAACACGUGAGUAACCUGCCCUUGACUUUGGGAUAACUUCAGGAAACUGGGGCUAAUACCGGAUAGGAGCUCCUGCUGCAUGGUGGGGGUUGGAAAGUUUCGGCGGUUGGGGAUGGACUCGCGGCUUAUCAGCUUGUUGGUGGGGUAGUGGCUUACCAAGGCUUUGACGGGUAGCCGGCCUGAGAGGGUGACCGGCCACAUUGGGACUGAGAUACGGCCCAGACUCCUACGGGAGGCAGCAGUGGGGAAUAUUGCACAAUGGGCGGAAGCCUGAUGCAGCAACGCCGCGUGCGGGUGACGGCCUUCGGGUUGUAAACCGCUUUCGCCUGUGACGAAGCGUGAGUGACGGUAAUGGGUAAAGAAGCACCGGCUAACUACGUGCCAGCAGCCGCGGUGAUACGUAGGGUGCGAGCGUUGUCCGGAUUUAUUGGGCGUAAAGGGCUCGUAGGUGGUUGAUCGCGUCGGAAGUGUAAUCUUGGGGCUUAACCCUGAGCGUGCUUUCGAUACGGGUUGACUUGAGGAAGGUAGGGGAGAAUGGAAUUCCUGGUGGAGCGGUGGAAUGCGCAGAUAUCAGGAGGAACACCAGUGGCGAAGGCGGUUCUCUGGGCCUUUCCUGACGCUGAGGAGCGAAAGCGUGGGGAGCGAACAGGCUUAGAUACCCUGGUAGUCCACGCUGUAAACGGUGGGUACUAGGUGUGGGGUCCAUUCCACGGGUUCCGUGCCGUAGCUAACGCUUUAAGUACCCCGCCUGGGGAGUACGGCCGCAAGGCUAAAACUCAAAGGAAUUGACGGGGCCCCGCACAAGCGGCGGAGCAUGCGGAUUAAUUCGAUGCAACGCGUAGAACCUUACCUGGGUUUGACAUGGAUCGGGAGUGCUCAGAGAUGGGUGUGCCUCUUUUGGGGUCGGUUCACAGGUGGUGCAUGGCUGUCGUCAGCUCGUGUCGUGAGAUGUUGGGUUAAGUCCCGCAACGAGCGCAACCCUUGUUCACUGUUGCCAGCACGUUAUGGUGGGGACUCAGUGGAGACCGCCGGGGUCAACUCGGAGGAAGGUGGGGAUGACGUCAAGUCAUCAUGCCCCUUAUGUCCAGGGCUUCACGCAUGCUACAAUGGCUGGUACAGAGAGUGGCGAGCCUGUGAGGGUGAGCGAAUCUCGGAAAGCCGGUCUCAGUUCGGAUUGGGGUCUGCAACUCGACCUCAUGAAGUCGGAGUCGCUAGUAAUCGCAGAUCAGCAACGCUGCGGUGAAUACGUUCCCGGGGCU
RNAcentral lists this ribosomal RNA (1345 nucleotides) under uncultured bacterium. Its description in RNAcentral is "partial 16S ribosomal RNA". It matches the Rfam family "Bacterial small subunit ribosomal RNA", at positions 28 to 1381 of the family's 1533-position model. The record is from RNAcentral.